GCUUAACCGACCGCGCCACCCAGGCGCCCCUAUUGUUUUCUUUUCAUUUGAAGCUAAUGUAUGAAAACUAAAAGACAAAAAAAUGAACAUGAAGUUACAUUUACUUUUAAAUAAUCUAUCAUUUAUGGAAUUCUUUUUUUUUUUCUUUUUCAGGAAAAGAGAGGCUUUUUAAGUGGGAAAUAUGAUAAAAUAUACAAACUUAAAUCAUGACUUCAAGACCGGAUGCCUGCACAAGCUCUGCCUGAUUUAUUAACCUAAUCAUUGUGAAGGAAUUGGAUCCUGGAGAAUGAUGGCUGGACUUGUUAAGACAGGAUCAGUGGGUGAUCCUGUAGUACAACAAAUCCUUUGUGGAAUGAGGCAAGCCAAAGAACUUGGCGUCCAAACAGAAGUGUCAUCACUUGAUAAUGGAUAUACUUGAAUCAGCCAAGCUACCCAUUCAGCAGCAGGAUAUUUGACAGCCUUUCUGAUUAAGGAAAAGAAGGUACUUUACAAAAAAGUUCUCUCAUGUUCAUGAAUUUUCAAGGUGGGACUUUUAUUUUCCAUCUGGCAUCUGUUUGUUUCUAAUUUUCUCACUUUAGGUGAACAAACUGUAGGGGAUUUAGAGAUAUCAUUCUGAGGCAUAAGGGCAAUCACCUGUACCACUUUUUAAAGAACUGUAGGUUAAUCGGCUCACUUCUC
Molecule: long non-coding RNA, 678 nt
Filed under: Felis catus (domestic cat)
Lineage: Eukaryota; Metazoa; Chordata; Mammalia; Carnivora; Felidae
Description: lncRNA (ENSFCAG00000046788.2)
Source: RNAcentral